UACGUAGGGGGCAAGCGUUGUCCGGAUUUAUUGGGCGUAAAGAGCGUGUAGGCGGCUUGGUAGGUCCGCUGUGAAAACUCGAGGCUCAACCUCGAGAUGUCGGCGGAAACCACUUGGCUAGAGUCCGGAAGAGGAGAGUGGAAUUCCCGGUGUAGCGGUGAAAUGCGCAGAUAUCGGGAAGAACACCUAUGGCGAAGGCAGCUCUCUGGGACGGUACUGACGCUGAGACGCGAAAGCGUGGGGAGCAAACGGG
RNAcentral lists this ribosomal RNA (253 nucleotides) under uncultured bacterium. RNAcentral's name for it is "partial 16S ribosomal RNA". It matches the Rfam family "Bacterial small subunit ribosomal RNA", at positions 524 to 776 of the family's 1533-position model. The record is from RNAcentral.